Molecule: ribosomal RNA, 554 nt
Filed under: Cryptocellus chiriqui
Lineage: Eukaryota; Metazoa; Arthropoda; Arachnida; Ricinulei; Ricinoididae
Description: partial large subunit ribosomal RNA
Rfam family: Eukaryotic large subunit ribosomal RNA
Source: RNAcentral
CCAAGGAGUCUAACAUGUGUGCGAGUCGCCGGGUCUUGACCAGGCUCGGAGGCGAAAUGAAAGUGAAGGCCGAUCUGGGCGUCGGCUGCGGUGUGAUCCGCACGGUCGUCCGAAACUCCCGCGUCCUUCGCCCUCGGGCGUCGGCUCGCGGGGCCGGCGGCGCAACACCGGCCCGUCCCGUCCGCAGCGUCGGUGGGGCGGAGCGAGAGCAUACACGUUGGGACCCGAAAGAUGGUGAACUAUGCUUGGGCAGGACGAAGCCAGAGGAAACUCUGGUGGAGGUCCGCAGCGAUUCUGACGUGCAAAUCGAUCGUCAGACCUGAGUAUAGGGGCGAAAGACUAAUCGAACCAUCUAGUAGCUGGUUCCCUCCGAAGUUUCCCUCAGGAUAGCUGGCGCUCGAGGGAAGCAGUCUCAUCCGGUAAAGCGAAUGAUUAUUUGCCUUGGGGCCGAAACGACCUCAACCUAUUCUCAAACUUUCAAUGGGUGAGAAGUCCGGCUUGCUCGACUGAAGCCCGGACGACCCAGGAUGCGAGUGCCCAGUGGGCCACUUUUG